Molecule: transfer RNA, 65 nt
Filed under: Gigantidas childressi
Lineage: Eukaryota; Metazoa; Mollusca; Bivalvia; Mytilida; Modiolidae
Description: tRNA-Glu
Source: RNAcentral
GCUUAUAUGGUGUAGUGUGCACAUAAGGUUUUCAUUCUUAAGGGGGAAUUUAUUUUCUGUAAGCU